CAAUAGCGUAUAUUAAAGUUGUUGCAGUUAAAAAGCUCGUAGUUGGAUUUCUGUUCUCGGGGAUUGGUCCGCCUCACGGUGAGCACUGGUAUCCUGGGGACAUCCUCUCGAAGGCGGGUGGUGCACUUAAUUGUGUGCUGCUUGGAUUCGGGACCUUUACUUUGAAAAAAUUAGAGUGUUCAAAGCAGGCGUCGGCUUGAAUACAUUAGCAUGGAAUAAUGAUAUAGGACCUUGGUACUAUUUUGUUGGUUUGUGCACUGAGGUAAUGAUUAAGAGGGACAGUUGGGGGUAUUUGUAUUCCAUUGUCAGAGGUGAAAUUCUUGGAUUUUUGGAAGACAAACUACUGCGAAAGCAUUUACCAAGGAUGUUUUCAUUAAUCAAGAACGAAAGUUAGGGGAUCGAAGAUGAUCAGAUACCAU
This 419-nucleotide ribosomal RNA is filed under the name uncultured eukaryote. Its description in RNAcentral is "bacterial SSU rRNA". It matches the Rfam family "Eukaryotic small subunit ribosomal RNA", at positions 592 to 1018 of the family's 1831-position model. The record is from RNAcentral.